Long non-coding RNA from Parus major (Great Tit), 446 nucleotides. RefSeq lists it as uncharacterized. The transcript is spliced from 3 exons. NCBI's taxonomy places the organism in Eukaryota, Metazoa, Chordata, Aves, Passeriformes, Paridae. The record is from RefSeq and is a predicted model, not a curated record.
UUGUUCUGUAUGUGUGUCUUGUUUCCUUGUGAGAACUCAUUCAGGACAGAAGUGAAAAGCAAAGUUAAUGCAGACAGUUCUGCUUUUGCAAAGUCCUUCUGAUUCUCAGUGCUGAGACUCUACUCUCAUGAAGGCGCCAUCAGGCUUUGUUCACAUUCCCUGAUGACAGAAAGCACCAGCAAAAAUUGGCAGAGGAGAGCUUUCCUGAUGAUGAGGAAUCCUGUCAUAGGGCUAGGGGAGAUAGCGGUUGUGACAGGGACUGGGGCUGCCUCUGGGAUCUGUAAACUUCCACUACCCUCAGUGACAAGCACUCUCAGUGGGACCAGCCAUGCAGCAAGAGGUUUUGAAAUGGAGAAGAGAGAACCUCCUCCCUAUCACAGGUCACCAAAAUCCCAGUGAUCCUCCAGAGUAUUCAGUAUUAUAAAGCUUGGCAGUAUUGUAGUAAU